CAGUACGGCGAGUGAAGCGGCAACAGCUCAAAUUUGAAAUCUGGUCCUUUCAGGCCCCGAGUUGUAAUUUGUAGAGGAUGUUUCGGGCGCGGCGCGGGUCUAAGUCCUUUGGAACAGGGCGUCAUAGAGGGUGAGAAUCCCGUAUGUGACCUGUGAUCAAGCCCAUGUGAAACCCCUUCGACGAGUCGAGUUGUUUGGGAAUGCAGCUCAAAAUGGGUGGUAAAUUUCAUCUAAAGCUAAAUACCGGCCAGAGACCGAUAGCGCACAAGUAGAGUGAUCGAAAGAUGAAAAGCACUUUGGAAAGAGAGUCAAAAAGUACGUGAAAUUGUUGAAAGGGAAGCGCUUGCAACCAGACCUGUCCGCGGACGAUCAGCCCCCGUUCUCGGGGGUGCACUCGUUCGUGAUCAGGCCAGCAUCGGUUUGGGCGGCCGGAUAAAGGCCCUGGGAAUGUAGCUCCUUCCGGGGAGUGUUAUAGCCCUGGGUGCAAUGCGGCCAGCCCGGACCGAGGACCGCGCCUUCGGGCUAGGAUGCUGGCGUAAUGGUUGUAAGCGACCCGUCUUGAAACACGGACCAAGGAGUCUAACAUCUAUGCAAGUGUUUGGGUGUCAAACCCAUGCGCGGAAUGAAAGUGAACGGAGGUGAGAACCCUCAAGGGCGCAUCAUCGACCGAUCCAGAUGUCUUCGGAUGGAUUUGAGUAUGAGCAUAGCUGUUGGGACCCGAAAGAUGGUGAACUAUGCCUGAUAGGGUGAAGCCAGAGGAAACUCUGGUGGAGGCUCGCAGCGGUUCUGACGUGCAAAUCGAUCGUCAAAUUUGGGUACGAAAGACUAAUCGAACCAUCCUCGUGGCUUUACGCUACUGGUGGUUAAUCAGAGUAGAUAUGCUUCUACUCUCAGUCCUUUAGGGCAACAUCACUACUUGCAUGAACCUCCAAAAGCCUUUUCGCUUUUGGGAGCAAUAUGCUGCAGAGACUCCCCUAUGGGAAAUCUGUUCACAGACCAAAUAGUGGUGGCCGAGGCUAAUAGAGCUUCGGUUUAGAAAUGGCCGAGUCCUCCUCCUCUUAAGGAGUUGGUUUCUGAGACAUGUUAAGGCGGGAUUUUAUCCCAGGUCAAAUUUUAAUUGGCAUAAAAGAGGGCCCCCCCUAUAGGUGGGGGUGCCAGCCGCAAAUACUUGUCUUGGAAGCUCAGUAUCAACGCUAGUAGCUGGUUCCUGCCGAAGUUUCCCUCAGGAUAGCAGUAACGUUUUCAGUUUUAUGAGGUAAAGCGAAUGAUUAGAGGCCUUGGGGUUGAAACAACCUUAACCUAUUCUCAAACUUUAAAUAUGUAAGAAGUCCUUGUUACUUAGUUGAACGUGGAC
RNAcentral lists this ribosomal RNA (1354 nucleotides) under Cladonia sp. RNAcentral describes it as "partial large subunit ribosomal RNA". It matches the Rfam family "Eukaryotic large subunit ribosomal RNA", at positions 81 to 1106 of the family's 3401-position model. Lineage: Eukaryota; Fungi; Ascomycota; Lecanoromycetes; Lecanorales; Cladoniaceae. The record is from RNAcentral.